This 1163-nucleotide long non-coding RNA is filed under the name Vulpes vulpes (red fox). RNAcentral's name for it is "lncRNA (ENSVVUG00000014125.1)". The record is from RNAcentral. Lineage: Eukaryota; Metazoa; Chordata; Mammalia; Carnivora; Canidae.
ACUACAUCCAACUAAAACAAUCAAGGAAGUUUUGUUUUAUUAGUGUUACGAGGUUUCCUCGACUAAUGUCUCAGUGACUUCAGAAGUAGCCUUUCAGAGAGAAAUUAUAUUUUGCAGAGUCCUUGAGUGGUAGGGCAACUGGUGGCAGAUUUUAUGGAGGACCAUCAAAAGGAGUAGUUGAAGUAAAGUCUCAAGAAUCAUGGGAAGCAUCCAAAUCAAGUUACACAGAGUAGGAUGGCGUAGGAACUAGAAGAAAAUGUGAUAAAUAUUUGGUGUCAUGAGAUGAAGAAAAUCAACCAUAAUGAGGAAAGAAGAUCCUGAUAGUCUGUGGGCAAUUGCAUCAAUUUGCCUUUCCAGGAGGACAACCCUGCAUACAAUUAAAGUCCCAAGUAAUCAAGAGAAUGAAGAGUUUUUAACAGAAAAUGGAUGUGUAGCCUAUGUAAAAUCUAUAAGCCAAACCAACCUUUGACAUUUUAAACGGAAAUUGUGUAAAGAACUGACUGAAAGAUAGACUUAAGUUUUCUCCUCCUCACACAAAAGUUGAAAAGUGACUGAUGCCAUCAAUGGUUGUCUGGUUGUUUUAUUAUGUGCAAUUAAAAAUCAGAACUGAUUCGACUGGCAGUUUUCACAUUAUGUAAACACAAUGGAAGGGGACAUAAUUCCAAUUGCUCCCUUCUGGAAUGUUUUAUGCCUACAGGCACAAGGAAGCUGGACCUUGGACAGCACAACUGCUAUUUGCCAAGUUGAGGAAAAGAAAAAAAAAAUGACUGUCUACCAGGAGUUGGAGCAGUUUUUAGAUGCUGUCAUCCUUAUUAUGCACCCUUGUGGAUUUGGAGGAGGUGGUGGGGUUCUUGACGCACAUCAUUUGCUUCCACAAAUCUCCAAAGUGAUGUCUCCUUUCCUAGAGCUGCUUUCCCAGCUGGCUCCAAUGGUUGAAGUUAAAAGGUUUAAAAAUCCCAUUAAUUUGGCAGCCUGGGUGGCUCAGCGGUUUAGCUCCACCUUCAGCCCAGGGCAUGAUCCUGGAGACCUGGGAUUGAGUCCCACAUCCAGUUCCCUGCAUGGAACCUGCUUCUCCCUCUGCCUGUGUCUCUGCCUCUCUCUCUCUCUCUGUCUCUCAUGAAUAAAUAAAUAAAAUCUUAAAAAAAAAAUAAAAAUAAAAACCC